GCAAGUCGAGGGGUAACAUUGUAGCUUGCUACAGAUUACGACCGGCGCAAGGGAGAGUAACGCGUAUGCAACCUACCAUUAACAGGAGGAUAGCCCAGGGAAACUUGGAUUAAUACUCCAUAAAAGUAUGAUACGGCAUGGUAUUAUAAUUAAAGCUCCGGCGGUUAAUGAUGGGCAUGCGUGCCAUUAGAUUGUUGGUGAGGUAACGGCUCACCAAGUCGACGAUGGCUACGGGGUCUGAAAGGAUGGUC
This 251-nucleotide ribosomal RNA is filed under the name uncultured bacterium. Its description in RNAcentral is "partial 16S ribosomal RNA". It matches the Rfam family "Bacterial small subunit ribosomal RNA", at positions 57 to 305 of the family's 1533-position model. The record is from RNAcentral.